GAUGCCAAGACAACAUUCUCUCUCUUUUUUUCUUUUUUUCAAAGAACCUGGAACCCGGGAGAUGCUUGAACACGUGGGUGUGUUUUCGUUUGUGUGUAUUUGGGGUCCGCGAGGCUGCAGUUUGCUCUUACAAUACUUGCACAGAAAUUCAUGACUCACAAGGGCAUCCAGUUGGUGUCAUAUACCACAUUUCACUUGUUUGUGUAUCACCUGGAGUUAAUUUCUUAUUUAGAAAACAUCUUGAUAUCCUCCAAACAGAAGCUAUUUCUUUAAAAAGGAGAAGGGUCACGUGUUCCUGUGGUUUGGUUUCCCUCAUAUUGCCUAGUAAGAUCAGGCACAAAGAAACGAUGGAAGAUUCCACCACCACAAAAACAUGAUUUCCCCCAGUGCCUUAUAAUGUCAGCACCAACAAAUAGUCAACAUGAAAUGCUGUGUCUGAGUUGUGAAAGCAGAUCUGAAUGCCUAGCAAAGUGGGCCUGAACCUAAGAGAAGACCUGGAAAAAUAUUUAAUUUUCCCUUCAAACUUGUAUCCACUCUUGACUUACGCUGAGUAUGAGAUGUCAUCAAAAGCACAAGCUGUCAGCACCCUUUGACACUCUGGUAGCUCUUCCACAGGGAGGAAUGGACGUACUGCCCGGCAUACAGUCCUGCAGCCUGUUCUGAGGGCAUCUGGAGGAACACACGGUCCCCCGGCCUGAGCAGCAGCACCGCGCUCCCCGAUGCCUGGUCCAGAAAGCCCUUUUUGUACUCGUCGUAUGUGUACAUCAUGGGCUCGUUGUUCUUGAACAGAGCAACCCACACAUUGCCCCCCUUGCAGUGAACGUGGUAUGCAAAGUAGUAGACACCAGGGACCUCGCAGGUGAAGAUGCCCGUCUGGGGGUUGUAGUUCUGUCUGCCGUUGUAGAGCAGUUUGUCAAACUUCACUGGGGCGCCCACCGGUGGGAAAGGCGCAGUCAGCUCGGCGGUGAAUGCGGGCAUCUCGUAAGCUGGCCCUCCGUGCUUGCCUU
Molecule: long non-coding RNA, 1007 nt
Organism: Talpa occidentalis (Iberian mole)
Lineage: Eukaryota; Metazoa; Chordata; Mammalia; Eulipotyphla; Talpidae
Exons: 4
Source: RefSeq, a predicted model, not a curated record